Molecule: long non-coding RNA, 900 nt
Organism: Mauremys reevesii (Reeves's turtle)
Lineage: Eukaryota; Metazoa; Chordata; Testudines; Geoemydidae
Exons: 3
Source: RefSeq, a predicted model, not a curated record
CUUAAUUCCUACAUUUGGGUGAGGUUCCAAAUAGUUAAGUGGGUGUGAGUGUAAGGGUACGUCCAGACUACCCACUGGAUUGGUGGGUAGCGAUCGAUCUAUCGGGGAUCGAUAGAUCGCAUCUCGUCUAGACGCAAUAUAUCAAUCCCUGAACGCGUGCUUCCGUCGACUCCAGAACUUCACCAGGGCGAGCAGCAGUAGCGGAGUUGACGGGGAGAGCCGCGGCCAUUGAUCCCACGCCGUGAGGACGGAGGUAUUUUAGAUGUGAAGAAAUGAAAGAAGAUUACAACCAUUUUACUGAAGCCCCACUGGAAAUGAAAAGUUUAUCAUCUUGAAAUCCAACAAGUUUAAAAAUCAAUCAAAUUUAUCCUAUAUUUUUGUGUAUUAAAUACAUAAUUUUUUCUCCAAUCAAUAGAAUCUUCCAAAAAAUAAGCAUUCAGUGAGAACAGAUAGACAUUGUAUAUUUGAUUGCUUGAAUACCCAAAUAUACAGCCCAGUAAAUCACUGAGGACCACUGCCUAUGCCACCAAUCACCAGAAUAUCCUCUUACUAGAAUGUCUAAUUAAUGAGGACAGCCAGUUAAACAAAAAGGAAGCUUUAUAAAAAGAGGCUGGAACAGAAAUUAACCAUAGACCCAAUAUCCGUUACUAAGAAAAAUACAUUCAAGAGCCCUGAUUUUGUGUCUUGCAGCUGCACAGCACUCCCACAUAUUACCAAUGUCAAGCUGGCUCCAAUAUUGGAGACGCUGUGGAAAAGGAAAUAAUCAACACCAUUUCAGCAGAGAAAUAAAUUGCCAAGUUGGUAUUAAAAUUUUAGUAAUAAAACCAAAUGCAAAUGCUAAUCUACUCUGUAUUAUUUAGAAAAGUCUGUUUUGGAUCAAGAAAGGAAUAAUCUGCACAA